GCGCGCGAAACUGCGAUGAGGGACUCCAAGUGCCAGUACAUUGUGCUGGCUGUUCGCUUGCCUAAAAAGCUUGCGGAGUAAGGGGUGGGUAAGACUGGUGCCAGCCGCCGCGGUAAUACCAGCAGCCCAAGUGGUGAUCGCUAUUAUUGGGCCUAAAGCGUCCGUAGCCGGACUGGUAAACCCUUGGGUAAAUCGUCCAGCUCAACUGAACGACUUCCGAGGAGACUGCCAGUCUUGGGACCGGGAGAGGUCGGAGGUACUCCAGGGGUAGGGGUGAAAUCCUGUAAUCCUUGGGGGACCACCGGUGGCGAAGGCGUCCGACUAGAACGGGUCCGACGGUAAGGGACGAAGCCCUGGGUCGCAAACCGGAUUAGAUACCCGGGUAGUCCAGGGUGUAAACGCUGCGGGCUUGGUGUUGCGGGUCCUACGAGGGCGCGCAGUGCCGGAGAGAAGUUGUUAAGCCCGCCGCCUGGGGAGUACGCGCGCGAAAGCGCGCGAAAGCGCGCGAAAGCGCGCGAAACA
This 522-nucleotide ribosomal RNA is filed under the name uncultured euryarchaeote. RNAcentral describes it as "bacterial SSU rRNA". It matches the Rfam family "Archaeal small subunit ribosomal RNA", at positions 355 to 856 of the family's 1478-position model. Lineage: Archaea; Methanobacteriati; Methanobacteriota. The record is from RNAcentral.